This 386-nucleotide ribosomal RNA is filed under the name uncultured bacterium. Its description in RNAcentral is "bacterial SSU rRNA". It matches the Rfam family "Bacterial small subunit ribosomal RNA", at positions 30 to 414 of the family's 1533-position model. The record is from RNAcentral.
AUUGAACGCUGGCGGCAGGCCUAACACAUGCAAGUCGAGCGGAUGAAAGGGGCUUGCUCCUGGAUUCAGCGGCGGACGGGUGAGUAAUGCGCAGGAAUCUACCUCGUAGUGGGGGAUAACGUUUCGAAAGGAACGCUAAUACCGCAUACGUUCUGAGGAAGAAAGCAGGGGACCUUCGGGCCUUGCGCUAUGAGAUGAGCUUGCGUCCGAUUAGCUAGUUGGUGGGGUAAAGGGCCUACCAAGGCGACGAUCGGUAACUGGUCUGAGAGGAUGAUCAGUCACACUGGAACUGAGACACGGUCCAGACUCCUACGGGAGGCAGCAGUGGGGAAUAUUGGACAAUGGGGGCGAACCCUGAUCCAGCCAUGCCGCGUGUGUGAAGAAGG